CUGGGAUGAUUAGUGGUGGUUUCUCAUUAGAGGUUUUUAAGCAUUGGGCUCCUUCUGAGAUGAAUCUUGUAACAUUGCCUGGAUAUUGUGUGGCUGGAACCAUAGGUCAUAAAUUGAUGUCGGGUAAACCCACUAAAAUUAAUUUGGACAAGGACACGCAAAUUGAUGUGCGAUGCCAGAUCCAUCAAUUGUCUUUCAGCCCCCAUACAGAUGCCAAAGGAAUUAUGGAUCUAGUUAAAUUUCUUUCUCCUAAGCACGUGAUAUUAGUACAUGGUGAAAAGCCUAAAAUGGCAUCUCUGAAAGAAAGAAUCCAGUCUGAAUUGGGAAUUCAAUGUUAUGUUCCUGCAAAUUGUGAUACUGUGUGCGUUCCUUCCACUGUCUUUGUAAAAGCACAUGCCUCAGAGAUGUUUUUCCAUAGUUGUUUGAGUCCUAAUUUCAGGUUUUUAAAUGAAAGUUCAGAAGAUACAUCUGAUUCAAUUUUAGAAAGGACGAAUGGCAAAUCUCGGUUUCAGGUAACUGAUGAAAGAGUUGCUGAGGGGAUCUUGGUUAUGGAGAAAAGCAAAAAGGCAAGGGUUGUGCAUCAAGAAGAGCUGCUGCUAAUGUUGGGAGAAAAACAGCAUGAGGUUCAGGUUGCUUAUUGUUGUCCUGUACAUGUUGACAACUUAGAUGAGGCUAGAAGAGAUCAUAUCUCAGCAGAUGAUGUACUUGGUCUCUCUAAUAAAUGCAGUUGGCUUCAGCAAUUAUUCACAGAACUAACAACUGAUUUUCC
RNAcentral lists this unclassified non-coding RNA (769 nucleotides) under Hevea brasiliensis (rubber tree). Lineage: Eukaryota; Viridiplantae; Streptophyta; Magnoliopsida; Malpighiales; Euphorbiaceae. The record is from RNAcentral.